RNAcentral lists this unclassified non-coding RNA (338 nucleotides) under soil metagenome. Its description in RNAcentral is "partial contains 5.8S ribosomal RNA, internal transcribed spacer 2, and large subunit ribosomal RNA". The stretch from base 1 to 121 matches the Rfam family "5.8S ribosomal RNA", at positions 35 to 154 of the family's 154-position model. The record is from RNAcentral.
GAUGAAGAACGCAGCGAAAUGCGAUAAGUAAUGCGAAUUGCAGAAUUUCCGUGAGUCAUCGAAUCUUUGAACGCACAUUGCGCCCCUUGGUAUUCCAUGGGGCAUGCCUGUUCGAGCGUCAUUUGUACCUUCAAGCCUUGCUUGGUGUUGGGUGUUUGUCUCGCCUCUGCGCGCAGACUCGCCUCAAAACAAUUGGCAGCCGGCGUAUUGAUUUCGGAGCGCAGUACAUCUCGCGCUUUGCACUCAGAACGACGACGUCCAAAAGUACAUUUUUACACUCUUGACCUCGGAUCAGGUAGGGAUACCCGCUGAACUUAAGCAUAUCAAUAAGCGGAGGA